UACGGGGGGAGCAAGCGUUGUUCGGAUUUACUGGGCGUAAAGGGCGCGUAGGCGGGUUCUCCAGUCAGGGGUGAAAUCUUUCGGCUCAACCGGAAAAGUGCCCCUGAUACUGAGAGUCUCGAGGGAGGUAGGGGCAUGUGGAACUUCCGGUGGAGCGGUGAAAUGCGUAGAUAUCGGAAGGAACGCCGGUGGCGAAAGCGACGUGCUGGACCUCUUCUGACGCUGAGGCGCGAAAGCCAGGGGAGCAAACGGG
This 253-nucleotide ribosomal RNA is filed under the name uncultured bacterium. RNAcentral describes it as "partial 16S ribosomal RNA". It matches the Rfam family "Bacterial small subunit ribosomal RNA", at positions 524 to 776 of the family's 1533-position model. The record is from RNAcentral.